UUUUUUUUUUUUUUUUUUUUUUUGCUUUUUAGAGGUGCACUGUAACAUAUGGAAGUUUCCAGGCUAGAGGCUGAAUCAGAGCCACAGCUGCCAGCCUAUGUCACAACCACAGCAAUGUGGGAUGCAGGCUGAAUCUGUGACCUACACCACAGCUUGAAGUAAUGCCAGAUCCUUAACCCACUGAGCAAGGCCAAGGAUUGAACCCACAUCCUCAUGGAUACUAGUCAGGUUCUUUACACUGAGCCACAAUGGGAACUCCCCCACAUACUUUUGAUGUUCCAUGAACUUGUCACUGAUCCUCAAAAAGUUAGCCAGCUCAUUAUUUGCACUACAUUUUGUAAUUAUUCAUUCAAGUUUUUAAGAAGGUAUGAUCAUCAUUUCUCAAACAUAGAUUUGUGCUAAUAAUCAGAAUUUUGCAUUUUUAUGACUUAAUUUCUCUUUUGAAUACCUGUGUCUGUGGGAAGUGGGUGAAACUGGUACCCUAACCCUCCAUCACCUGUCUCCCCUCCUCUGGUAUUGCUCUCAGGAGUGUCAGCAUAGCAAAGGGCAGUUGAAGGAGGGGCUGCUUCUGUGUUGUCUCUACUGUCCACUGAAAUGAAUAUGACCUGAGAUAUUGGAUUUUUAAUUGUUUGUUAUUUUUAAAUGCUUGCAUAUCAUUCUUUUCUCCUUUUGAAGUUAAAUUACUGAAAUACCUCUGUGAGAUCUCUGCAUGCCCAUGUUCCCUGUGGGAUUACUCACAGCAGUCAAGAUACAGAAACAACCUAAGUGUCUAUUAACAAAUGAAUUUUAGAAUAAAGAAAAUGUGAUAUAUAUAUGUUCAACAGAAUACUAUUCAACCUUUAAAAAGAAGCAAAUUCUGGAGUUCCCAUUGUGGUUCAGUGGGUUAAGAACCCAUCUAGUAUCCAUGAGAAUGCAGGUUUGAUCCCUGGCCUUGCUCAGUGGGUUAAGGAUCUGGUGUUGCUGUGAGCUAUGCUGGAGGUCACAGAUGUGGUUUGGAUCCCUCAUUGCUGUGGUUGUGAUGUAGGCCAGCAGCUGCAGAUCUGAUUCAACCCCUAGCCUGGAAAAUUCCAUAUGCAACAGAUGUCGCCUUAAAAAGAAAAAAAAAGAGUUACUGUGGUGGCUCAGUGGUAACAAGGCCUACUAGUAUCCAUGAGGCCACUGGUUUGUUCCCUGGCCUUGCUCAGGGGGUUAAGGAUCUGGUGUUUCCCUGAGCCGUGGUGUAGGUGACAGAUGUGGCUUGGAUGUGGUAUUGAUGUGGUUGUGGUGUAUGUAGGCUGACCAGCUGCAGCCUGAUUCUACCCCUAGCCUGGGAACUUCCAUAUGCCUUGGUUGCGGCCCUAAAAAAAAUAAGAUGGAAGGAAGAAAGAAAGGAAGAAAGAGGAAGAGACAUCAGGGCCCCUGUUUCAGGGUUUAAGGCAUGUGAGGAUGCACUGAGAAGGCUGAUAUCUAUCUGCUGGCCAUCUGUCUAUAUGUCAAGGAGAGAGGUCUGUGGAGAAAUCUAAUCUGCAGACACCUUGAUCUUAUACUUCCUAUCUUCAAAACUGCAAGAAUGAAUUUCUGUUGUUUAAGACACCUAGUCUGUGGUAUUUUGCUGUGGCAACCCUAAGAAACUAAUACCCAACAACCACUUUGCACUUAUACCUGUUACUAAUCUAGUACUUGUCUCAAUUUACUCUUAAGCAUAAGAGCUCCCUAUUAUCAGUAGUUUGAAGAGCUAGUCAUAUUCUCAAUUUAAAGCAAGGAAAGGAGUCAUUUAUCAUCUUUCCAAGAUGGUGAAAGAAUAGUGAUGGUACCUGGUGAUUCCUUGCAUUUUAGACAGUAGGCUGUGGGUACAUAUGUUGUGUUGUGCAAAUGCUUCAAUACACUAGAGUUUGUUCAAGCUGGUCAGCUCUUCUGUCAAUAGAGAUCACCACAGGGUAUAGAUUAUAUAGAUUAUAUCAAAUUCAGAAAUGCUGCUGUUGAUUCUGUAUCAGCCACUUGAAAGGACAGUGAGCAAAAAGUGAAUUCCUGGUGCCAAGACCACAUGGAAUGCCUUUCCUUGGGAAAACAGAAGAAUAUUAUCAUAAUUAAAAUAGGUGCAGAGUUUUAGGUAGGAAAAACAUCUAAGGAAAAAGAGAAAGCGGGCAUGACUUUCCAUUAUUGAUUUUUAUCACUUUAAAAAGGAAGAAAAGGAGUUUUCUUGUGCAGUGGGUUAAGGAUCUGGCAUUGUCACUGCUAUGGCUUGGGCCAUUGCUGUGGCACAGGUUCAAUACCUGCACAGGUAUCAACCAAAAAAAAUAAUAAUAAAAAUAAAAAGAAAGAAAAGAAAAGAAAAAAGGAAGGAAAAACUAGAAUACAAUUAGCCUAUACUUAAAAUGAUUCUUUUACUCUCAGUUGAAAUAUGAACUAUUUAGUGUGUGGCUCAUGCAGAAGUGUGGUGUCAAAUGGGGGGAAUUAAAUUUGGGUCUGUACCACCACCAAACCCCCACCUUGCUGGCUCCACCAGAACAUCUGUCCUAACCACCUGCUUUUGCAUGAGACCUAGGAAAGUAACAUUAUUGGGACUCUCCCUAAUUAAACAUUAUCUCUUGUUGAUGGAAGAAGUUAGGACUGAGUUGCUGCAGUGCAGUUGGCAAUCCACACAACCAAUGUAUUGGGGUGGGACACUAGAUAUUUUCUCCUUACCAUUAUAUAUACAUUAUAUCAAUAUGUCUUGUAAUCCUCACCACCCCCAGGCAAAGCAGACUUACUAAGGAUGGCCAUUCUGACCAGCAUGAAGUGGUACCUCAGUGUAGUUUUUUUCAUUUCUCUAAUCAUUAGUGAUGUUGAACAUUUUUUCAUGUGCCUGUUGGCCAUCUGUAUAUCUUCUAUGGAGUAAAGUCUGUUCACGUCUUCUGCCCAUUUUUUCAUUGGGUUGUUGUUUGUAUAUUUUGGAGAUUAAGCCACUGUUGGUUGCAUCACUUUAAACAAUUUUCUUGACCCAGAGGGAAACCCACCAGAGACCGGAGGCCAGGAGGUGAAGAGUACUGAGUGUACCAGCAAAUGGAGCAGAAAGGGGCUCCCAUCCUUGGGUAGUCCUCCCACCCCAGCAGGACUGGCUCCCAAGGAACCCAAGCUAGUCCCUGUGCUUGGCUUCAAUCUGUCCCCUCCAGUGCACGCCCCCCUGCAUCCAUUUCCUCUGCUGCCCCUGAACCACCCCCCCAGAGCCAGAGCACUAUGUCCCCAAGCUUGGUGCCCCACUACACCUUGCCCCCAUCCCCCACCCCAGGGGUCAGGGAGAGGAGAACUGAAGGCAUGCGGGCCAGGAGCAGGAGAGGAGGCCCAUGAGUGGGC
RNAcentral lists this long non-coding RNA (3312 nucleotides) under Sus scrofa (pig). RNAcentral's name for it is "lncRNA (ENSSSCG00030004281.1)". The record is from RNAcentral. Lineage: Eukaryota; Metazoa; Chordata; Mammalia; Artiodactyla; Suidae.